This 461-nucleotide ribosomal RNA is filed under the name uncultured bacterium. Its description in RNAcentral is "bacterial SSU rRNA". It matches the Rfam family "Bacterial small subunit ribosomal RNA", at positions 30 to 487 of the family's 1533-position model. The record is from RNAcentral.
AUUGAACGCUGGCGGAAUGCUUUACACAUGCAAGUCGAACGGCAGCACGGGGCAACCUGGUGGCGAGUGGCGAACGGGUGAGUAAUACAUCGGAACGUGCCCAGUCGUGGGGGAUAACGUAGCGAAAGUUACGCUAAUACCGCAUACGAUCUAUGGAUGAAAGCGGGGGAUCGCAAGACCUCGCGCGAUUGGAGCGGCCGAUGUCAGAUUAGGUAGUUGGUGGGGGUAAAAGGCCUACCAAGCCGACGAUCUGUAGCUGGUCUGAGAGGACGACCAGCCACACUGGGACUGAGACACGGCCCAGACUCCUACGGGAGGCAGCAGUGGGGAAUUUUGGACAAUGGGCGCAAGCCUGAUCCAGCCAUUCCGCGUGCAGGAUGAAGGCCUUCGGGUGUAAACUGCUUUGUACGGUAACGAAAGGACUCUGGUUAAUACCGGGCUCGAUGACGGUACCGUAAGAA